RNAcentral lists this ribosomal RNA (253 nucleotides) under uncultured bacterium. Its description in RNAcentral is "partial 16S ribosomal RNA". It matches the Rfam family "Bacterial small subunit ribosomal RNA", at positions 524 to 776 of the family's 1533-position model. The record is from RNAcentral.
UACAGAGGGGGCAAGCGUUGUUCGGAAUUACUGGGCGUAAAGGGCGCGUAGGCGGCCUUCUAAGUCGAACGUGAAAUCCCCGGGCUCAACCCGGGAACUGCGUCCGAUACUGGAAGGCUUGAAUCCGGGAGAGGGAUGCGGAAUUCCAGGUGUAGCGGUGAAAUGCGUAGAUAUUGGGAGGAACACCAGUGGCGAAGGCGGCUCACUGGACCGGUUCUGACGCUGAGGCGCGAAAGCGUGGGGAGCAAACGGG